AUAGAUCAUACACACAUAUAUGAUUUAGAAUCUUGUCUGGGCAGGCUCUGCCCCAUUUCGAUGGCUCUACCCCAGCUGUGGUGUUGAGUUGCUGUCAUGAUUGGCACCUGUCUUUGUGUAUUAUAACUCACAUAGCUGAUAGCUGGGAGGCUUGGUGCAGGCAGGCAGCCACUUAAUGGAUUUGAUUUGUUUUGUUUUGUGACCUAGUUUUUCUUUAGGGGUUGUUAGUUCAAUUUUCUAGAUACAGUGUGUAUUGUUUGACAGUGUUUCAGGGUAAAUCCCGACUCUUCUUAUCCCAUUUCCUGCCUUGCCAAUCCUAUCUGCUGUGGCCAUCUCACUUGAUUUGAUUUCUUUGUGUAGUUCAAAAUGGAUUUUUCUUUAAAUUAUUACUAUUAUUAUUAAACAGUCACAGUCAUAGUUUGUUUUUUCUGACCCUGGGGAUCAAAUAGAGAGCUUUGGGCAGAUGAGGCCAGCCCUGUACUGAGCUACAACCCAGACCUGAACCCAAGUUUUUCUUUUGACCUUGAGACAGCCUCUUGCUAUAUGACCCAGGCUGCCUUGAACUCAUAGUCUCUGUUGGCUUUUUGAGGGCAGGGAUUUCAGGAGUGCACCUCCAAGGCAAUUUUGUUGUAGCUUUCAGAACUGAUAUUUAAACCCAGCUUAGCGCUCUCCGAUGCGCUACGUCUGAGUCCCAAGCCUGAUUGUCUGCAGGUGAGGAAGGCAGUGAUUUUUGUUGACUCUGUCUCUGGAGCCUGGGUUGGACUGGAAGUCCCUGCGUAGCUCAGGCUACCUCUUAGCUAUGGUCCAGCUCAGCCUCCUGAGUGUUGGGAUCACAGGUGUCAGCCUUUGGGCCCGGCUUUACCAGUGACUUUGAUGAGUCCUUUCAUUUGAAGCCAUGACUUGAGGUUGCCCUGGCACUGUGAGGUGGCUUUGUGAGGUUGCCCCGGCACUGUGAGGUGGCUUUGCUCCCCAAC
RNAcentral lists this long non-coding RNA (974 nucleotides) under Mus musculus (house mouse). RNAcentral's name for it is "long non-coding RNA chr6:117987755-117988729". Lineage: Eukaryota; Metazoa; Chordata; Mammalia; Rodentia; Muridae. The record is from RNAcentral.